GAGUCAGCAAUAUGACCAUUCCUGCCGAAACAAAGCAAAAAGAGCUCUCAAUUGUGAGAGGGAGUCUCCCUAAGAGCUGAGGCCGCAUGCUAAUUUAAACAGUAGCUCAGGAACCCCUGCAAACACACUGCUUGGUAGAGCCCAGUAAGUCUCUGUUGAUGGACGAACUUGGCCAGGAGGAACGCUGGAUCGGAAUUGCUCCCUCCAUAGUAGGUAAAGAAAUUGAGGAUCUGCCUACAAGUAUACGCCAGAAAUGGGGUGCCCUGAAACACAGGUCUGCUAAUUCUACUCCCCUUUAAGGCCUUUUGAAGAUCGAUGUGUCCCCAGUCCACGGGAACACCACAGACACCGUCUCCACAUGUUGUCAGUGAGAGGAGCAUGUUUUAGACAUGCCUCCUAGAGCAGAGGAAGGAGUCAUAAAACUGGAUAUUGGAAGAAGAGCCCACUGUUGCCUACAAUGAAGAAUGGGAAGAAUUUAACCUACUCCUCAACGCCCCACGUGAGCUGACUUGAGAACCGCUGCGUGACUUCCCAGCUGCCCACGAGUUGGGAAAAGCUGCGCGGAGACCCACAAGUGAAUCUCACUCCCUCUGCAAGAAAACAAGUUACAUGAAAAUCUUUGUUAUGACAACAAGACUACGGAUUUGCAGAAAUAAAGACAAAUAAAUAAAUUUUAUGGGUAAUAAUUUAUUAAUUGUGUAUAACCUAAUUUAAUUUUUCAUGGAAGCAACAGACUAUCCAGGGAAUCAAACACAUUGGAUAUGACAGUAUGGAACUCGGGAAACCGAGAUCAUAAAAGAGACCUCUCUUGGAUCACUCGCUAUGCGGGAAGCCAGCUGCCAUGUCAUGAGGAUAAUCAAGCUGCUCUGUGGAGAGGCCCAUGUGGUGGGGUCUACUGCCAGCAGUCAUGGGUGAGCUUGGAAACAGAUUCUCCAGCCCUACUCAAGCUUUCGGAUCACUGCACCCCAGCAGAGAGCCUGACUGCAGCCUCACGAGAAAUCCUGAUCCAGAAGAAUCCACCUAAGCUAUCCCCAGAUUCCUGACUCUCAGAAACUGUGAGACAAUUUGUUUCAGGCUGCUAAGUUUUGAGCUAGUUUAUUAUUCAGAAUAGAAAACUGAUACAAAUAUUAUAGAAAUAUUCUGAGCAUUCCCACUGUACAUAUUCAUGGUUUUAAAUCUAUGAUGAUUAAUUCCUAAAAGUAGCAAGAAAAUUUGAGGCGGUUACCAAAAGUCAUGAUCUGGAGCCCACCUCUGACUAACUGCAGGGGACAUGACUGUCAUUCAUUCUGUCUAUCAGUCAUUUAAUAAAUACUUAUUAAAUUGUCUGCUAUCAGGCAGGUAAUCACUGCUCUCAGCCUUGGAGAUGCAAAGAUAAAUACAAUAGAGAGCAUGUUUGUAAAGGCUUUGUAAAGGCGUCAUAUUGCUGUGUUCUCCACCAUCUUAUCUACUACAGAUAAUAAAAAGAUUGAUGGAGUCCUACUUAA
Long non-coding RNA from Callorhinus ursinus (northern fur seal), 1484 nucleotides. RefSeq lists it as uncharacterized. The record is from RefSeq and is a predicted model, not a curated record. NCBI's taxonomy places the organism in Eukaryota, Metazoa, Chordata, Mammalia, Carnivora, Otariidae.